UCGAGCGAACCGAUGGGAGCUUGCUCCCUGAGGUUAGCGGCGGACGGGUGAGUAACACGUGGGUAACCUGCCUGUAAGACUGGGAUAACUCCGGGAAACCGGGGCUAAUACCGGAUGCUUGAUUGAACCGCAUGGUUCAAUCAUAAAAGAUGGCUUUUGCUAUCACUUACAGAUGGGACCCCGCGGCCGCAUUAGCUAGUUGGUGAGGGUAACGGCUCACCAAGGGCGACGAUGCCGUAGCCCGACCUGAGAGGGUGAUCGGCCACCACUGGGACUUGAGAACACGGCCCAGAACUCUCUACGGGGAGGCAGCAGGUAGGGAAUUCUUCCCGCAAUGGACGAAAAGUUCUGACGGGAGCAACGCCCGCGUGAGUGAAUGAAAGGUUUUUCGGGAUCGUAAAGCCUCUGUUUGUUAGGGGAAGAACAAGUACCGUUCGAAUAGGGCGGUACCCUUUGACGGUACCUUA
RNAcentral lists this ribosomal RNA (467 nucleotides) under Bacillus licheniformis. Its description in RNAcentral is "bacterial SSU rRNA". It matches the Rfam family "Bacterial small subunit ribosomal RNA", at positions 62 to 482 of the family's 1533-position model. The record is from RNAcentral. Lineage: Bacteria; Bacillati; Bacillota; Bacilli; Caryophanales; Bacillaceae.